RNAcentral lists this ribosomal RNA (463 nucleotides) under uncultured anaerobic ammonium-oxidizing bacterium. Its description in RNAcentral is "bacterial SSU rRNA". It matches the Rfam family "Bacterial small subunit ribosomal RNA", at positions 366 to 819 of the family's 1533-position model. The record is from RNAcentral.
UCGCAAUGCCCGAAAGGGUGACGAAGCGACGCCGCGUGUGGGAAGAAGGCCUUCGGGUUGUAAACCACUGUCGGGAGUUAGGAAAUGUAAGGGUGUUAAUAGCAUUCUUAUUUGACAAAAGCUCUAGAGGAAGCCACGGCUAACUCUGUGCCAGCAGCCGCGGUAAUACAGAGGUGGCAAGCGUUGUUCGGAAUUAUUGGGCGUAAAGAGCACGUAGGCGGCCUUGCAAGUCAGCUGUGAAAGCCUUCUGCUUAACGGAAGAACAGCAGUUGAUACUACAGGGCUUGAGUGCGGGAGGGGAGAGUGGAACUUCUGGUGGAGCGGUGAAAUGCGUAGAUAUCAGAAGGAACGCCGGCGGCGAAAGCGGCUCUCUGGCCCGUAACUGACGCUGAGUGUGCGAAAGCUAGGGGAGCAAACGGGAUUAGAUACCCCGGUAGUCCUAGCCGUAAACGAUGGGCACUAA